This 111-nucleotide ribosomal RNA is filed under the name Caerostris darwini. The record is from RNAcentral. Lineage: Eukaryota; Metazoa; Arthropoda; Arachnida; Araneae; Araneidae.
AACGGCCAUAUCAUGCUGAAUAUACCGGUUCUCGUUAGAUCACCGAAGUCAAGCAUCAUUGGGCGCGGUCAGUACUUGGGUGGGUGACCACCUGGGAACACCACGUGCCGU